RNAcentral lists this long non-coding RNA (692 nucleotides) under Cavia porcellus (domestic guinea pig). RNAcentral describes it as "lncRNA (ENSCPOG00000039176.1)". Lineage: Eukaryota; Metazoa; Chordata; Mammalia; Rodentia; Caviidae. The record is from RNAcentral.
AUGAAUCAAACUGAACCAACCAAAGAAACUGGGUUCACUUGGGUCCAGGUGCUGUCUGGGAGAGCAAUGCUUCUGCAUAUCCUCAUCCUCUUGCUGGUCACCAUGAGUGCAGCCCAAGGGAAUGGACAGCAGGACAACAGCUCCCAGAGUAAACAGCUACCCAAGAAACACUUGAGAUUCGUCACUGGAAAUUGGAUAGAAGAGAUGGAGAAUGAGGUGAAGAACAGCACUGAGAAGAUGCUGAAGGUCCUGAACCAGAUAUCGCACAUGAAGGACCAGAUGACGCAAAUUAUGCUGACUACUGAGAAGCUGGAGAAACAGCUGCUGGCUGAGAGUCACACACUGCAAAUGCUGAAGGGCCACAGCAGUGAACUUGACCCUCAGGUGUUGGUUGUGGAGUUUCAGCAACAAACCCAGCUGGCCGGUAUGAAAAAUUUGAAGCUGAAGCUGAAGCAGAUUCUGGACCUCCAGAGCAGUACCCUCACUAGCAUCCAGGACAGUCUGCAAGCUGCAAGCAUCAGCUCCAGUAACCGGCAAAAGUAUCAGGCCCAGCUGCUGGAGAUACAGCAGCAGCUCAGGCAGCAGGUAGAGCAGGAUCCAGAUGAAUGAAAAGAAUAUGUACAUGGAGACACCAGAAACUCUGGAGCCUGGAUUCCUUUCCACAAGAAAGUGGACAAUUAAUUGAAGAUGGU